UGCAGUCUAUGUCAUACUUCCAAGAAAAGCUUGCACUGUCAUAAACAAAUAAUGCCUGUACCAUAACCGACACAGGUGGGUAGGUAGAGUAUACUAAGGGGCGCGAGAUAACUCUCUCUAAGGAACUCGGCAAAAUGACUCCGUAACUUCGGGAGAAGGAGUGCCUUAUUUAUAAGGUUGCAAUAACAAGAUCCAAGCAACUGUUUACCAAAAACACAGGUCUCCGCUAAGUCGUAAGACGAUGUAUGGGGGCUGACGCCUGCCCAGUGCCAGAAGGUUAAAGAAGUUGGUUAGCAUCCGCGAAGCUGAUAACUGAAGCCCUGGUGAACGGCGGCCGUAACAAUAACGGUCCUAAGGUAGCGAAAUUCCUUGUCGGGUAAGUUCCGACCCGCACGAAAGGCGUAAUGAUUUGGAUACUGUCUCGGAGAGGGGCUCGGUGAAAUAGACUUGUCUGUGAAGAUGCGGACUACCUGCACCAGGACAGAAAGACCCUAUGAAGCUUUACUGUAACCUGAAAUUGAAAUUGGACUUUACUUGCGCAGUAUAGGUGGGAGGCGUUGAGAAUAUUCUUGCGGGAUUAUUGGAGCCAUCAGUGAGAUACCACUCUUGUAAUGUUAGAUUUCUAACUUUGUAUCAUUAUCUGGUCAAAGAACAGUUUCAGGCGGGCAGUUUGACUGGGGCGGUCGCCUCCUAAACGGUAACGGAGGCGCACAAAGGUUUCCUCUGAACGGGUAGAAAUCGUAUCUAGAGUGUAAAGGCAUAAGGAAGCUUGACUGUGAGACCUACAAGUCGAGCAGGGACGAAAGUCGGUCUUAGUGAUCUGACGGUGCUGAGUGGAAAGGCCGUCACUCAACGGAUAAAAGUUACUCUAGGAUAACAGGCUGAUCUCCCCCAAGAGUUCACAUCGACGGGGAGGUUUGGCACCUCGAUGUCGGCUCAUCGCAUCCUGGGGCGGUAGUACGUCCCAAGGGUUGGGCUGUUCGCCCAUGAAAGCGGUACGCGAGCUGGGUUCAGAACGUCGUGAGACAGUUCGGUCCAUAUCCGGUGUAGGCGUUAGAAUAUUGAGAGGAGCCUUCUUUAGUACGAGAGGACCGAGAAGGACAUACCUCUGGUGUACCAGUUAUCGUGCCAACGGUAAACGCUGGGUAGCUAUGUGUGGAGUGGAUAACCGCUGAAAGCAUCUAAGUGGGAAGCCCACCUCAAGAUAAGUAUUCUC
RNAcentral lists this ribosomal RNA (1216 nucleotides) under metagenome. RNAcentral describes it as "bacterial LSU rRNA". It matches the Rfam family "Bacterial large subunit ribosomal RNA", at positions 1589 to 2815 of the family's 2925-position model. The record is from RNAcentral.